GCCUUAUCCAUGUGGAUGAGAGAGUUUCCAAGAGCUGAACCAGAUGAAUCGAGGGGCACUGAGGGCAGACACACCCUGUGGCCUCACUGGGAUGGAGGAGCUGUACCUUUGGCAAUGGACUUGGCUCGAGGCUAUUAAUUUGCUGAACCUGAGCUCUGGGGCAGUUUGGAUAUGGUUCCCGUCCUCAAAUAAAGGCAGCACACAUUGACCUGGAGUUCUGGUGAGGCUCUCGGCCCAAGGAGGGCUGAUUUUUCCAGGGUUUCAUUGCCACAGGGAAGGACAGGCUCGAUAGCCAUUAGGAGGUAAUGAUUGGAAACCCAGUGAUUUUAAAGAUUUCGGAUCGGCUGCUCAAGUAAAGAAACAUUUCAGUGCCCUGCAGUUUAAAAGGGCCCCGACACUGAUGAACGGUGUGUAGAUGCAGUAAAGUUUUAGAAGAGCGGCUGAUGCUUUGUGAUGAUUAAUUUUCCUUCUUACUUGAUCGCCCCAUGGUGCGGGACCCUCAGCUCUGGUGCACUCACCGUGGGCAUCAAGAGAAAGCUGAUGAAGACUCCUAGGGAUUUUGUUACUGUGAAACAGUCUAUUGUUGACGAGCACCCUCUCACUUCCUGAACACCCAGCCCCAAGUCGACAGCAGCCGUGAUACAGACACGGAGGCCAAGCACUGGUCCAGCUCGGUGCAGCAGCCUCACAGCCUGCCACCGGGGAGAAAUGGA
This 713-nucleotide long non-coding RNA is filed under the name Chinchilla lanigera (long-tailed chinchilla). RNAcentral's name for it is "lncRNA (ENSCLAG00000022826.1)". The record is from RNAcentral. Lineage: Eukaryota; Metazoa; Chordata; Mammalia; Rodentia; Chinchillidae.